GUGAGGAAUUUUCCGCAAUGGGCGAAAGCCUGACGGAGCAAUGCCGCGUGAAGGAUGAAGGCCUAUGGGUUGUAAACUUCUUUUCUUAGAGAAGAAUAUUGACGGUAUCUGAGGAAUAAGCAUCGGCUAACUCCGUGCCAGCAGCCGCGGUAAUACGGAGGGGGCUAGCGUUGUUCGGAAUUACUGGGCGUAAAGCGCGCGUAGGCGGACCAGAAAGUUGGAGGUGAAAUCCCAGGGCUCAACCUUGGAACUGCCUUCAAAACUCCUGGUCUGGAGUUCGAGAGAGGUGAGUGGAAUUCCGAGUGUAGAGGUGAAAUUCGUAGAUAUUCGGAGGAACACCAGUGGCGAAGGCGGCUCACUGGCUCGAUACUGACGCUGAGGUGCGAAAGCGUGGGGAGCAAACAGGAUUAGAUACCCGAGUAGUCC
RNAcentral lists this ribosomal RNA (426 nucleotides) under uncultured bacterium. Its description in RNAcentral is "partial 16S ribosomal RNA". It matches the Rfam family "Bacterial small subunit ribosomal RNA", at positions 354 to 796 of the family's 1533-position model. The record is from RNAcentral.